AUCCUAGCCUCCACCACGGCUGGGGUGGCUCUGCACCCUUACUGGCCAAUGAGACAUUGGCGGGGAUUCUGGGAAGCCUUUUGCUUUUCCUGACAAGAGGCACAGAUGGAUUUGAACUAGGGAGUUCUGGGUUAUUGGAAAAGGAAACAGAAGAGCUGAAGUGGGAAGGUGGAAAAGUUAAUGACAUGAUGACCCAGACUGUACCCAGGACUUGAGCUACCACAAUUCCGAGAAUUGACGGCAAAGAAAUGGGAACAAAUGCGCCCCGGAACUGAAGAUUAACUGUACCUAAAACAACCAAGAUGAUGCUAGUCAGACUACUGAUGAUAAUUGGAAGAUGAGUGUACUGUUUCUGCAUGUAACUCCCCACACACACACUUUGUCUAUAAAAACUCUCACCCCCUGCUUGUCAGGAG
Bos taurus (domestic cattle) is the source of this 416-nucleotide long non-coding RNA. NCBI's taxonomy places the organism in Eukaryota, Metazoa, Chordata, Mammalia, Artiodactyla, Bovidae. The record is from Ensembl.